UACGAAGGGGGCUAGCGUUGCUCGGAAUGACUGGGCGUAAAGGGCGCGUAGGCGGUUUGGACAGUCAGGCGUGAAAUUCCUGGGCUUAACCUGGGGGCUGCGCUUGAUGCAUCCAGACUUGAGUGGGGAAGAGGGUCGUGGAAUUCCCAGUGUAGAGGUGAAAUUCGUAGAUAUUGGGAAGAACACCGGUGGCGAAGGCGGCGACCUGGUCCUUUACUGACGCUGAGGCGCGAAAGCGUGGGGAGCAAACAGG
RNAcentral lists this ribosomal RNA (253 nucleotides) under uncultured bacterium. Its description in RNAcentral is "partial 16S ribosomal RNA". It matches the Rfam family "Bacterial small subunit ribosomal RNA", at positions 524 to 776 of the family's 1533-position model. The record is from RNAcentral.